This 73-nucleotide transfer RNA is filed under the name Felis catus (domestic cat). It matches the Rfam family "tRNA". From Rfam's summary of the family: Transfer RNA (tRNA) molecules are approximately 80 nucleotides in length. Lineage: Eukaryota; Metazoa; Chordata; Mammalia; Carnivora; Felidae. The record is from Rfam by way of RNAcentral. RNAcentral also lists the same sequence under 2 other names.
GCCUGGCUGGCUCAGUCAGUAGAGCAUGUGACUCUUGAUCUCAGGGCUGUGAGUUCAAGCCCCACGUUGGGCG